AGUGAACGCUGGCGGUAGGCCUAACACAUGCAAGUCGAACGGCAGCACAGGAGAGCUUGCUCUCUAGGUGGCGAGUGGCGGACGGGUGAGGAAUACAUCGGAAUCUGCCCAGUCGUGGGGGAUAACGUAGGGAAACUUACGCUAGUACCGCAUACGACCUUCGGGUGAAAGAGGGGGAUCGCAAGACCUCUCGCGAUUGGAUGAGCCGAUGUCGGAUUAGCUAGUUAGCGGGGUAAUGGCCCACCAAGGCGACGAUCCGUAGCUGGUCUGAGAGGAUGAUCAGCCACACUGGAACUGAGACACGGUCCAGACUCCUACGGGAGGCAGCAGUGGGGAAUAUUGGACAAUGGGCGCAAGCCUGAUCCAGCCAUACCGCGUGGGUGAAGAAGGCCUUCGGGUUGUAAAGCCCUUUUGUUGGGAAAGAAAUCUUUCAGGCUAAUACCCUGGGAGGAUGACGGUACCCAAAGAAUAAGCACCGGCUAACUUCGUG
This 490-nucleotide ribosomal RNA is filed under the name uncultured bacterium. RNAcentral's name for it is "partial 16S ribosomal RNA". It matches the Rfam family "Bacterial small subunit ribosomal RNA", at positions 29 to 507 of the family's 1533-position model. The record is from RNAcentral.